CGGUCGACAAAAAACCAUAUCGGAGGCUUCGAUCUACAACCCCAUUAAUCCAGAACUUCGAAAUAGGCGAAGGAGUAAGUUUUGUACAUCUGCAAUAUUACAAUUUAUAAUAGAAUUUAGUCUGGCGGAUAAGACUCUAGACUGCAUUACUCAAUGUUUUUGGCAAUGUUCAUCUUGCUACCAGUGCAAUGACAAACAUACUUGAAUAAAAUAUUGGUAUAUACCAGCGAU
Long non-coding RNA from Adelges cooleyi (spruce gall adelgid), 231 nucleotides. RefSeq lists it as uncharacterized. Lineage: Eukaryota; Metazoa; Arthropoda; Insecta; Hemiptera; Adelgidae. The transcript is spliced from 3 exons. The record is from RefSeq and is a predicted model, not a curated record.